RNAcentral lists this ribosomal RNA (1792 nucleotides) under uncultured Nitzschia. RNAcentral's name for it is "partial Bacterial large subunit ribosomal RNA". It matches the Rfam family "Bacterial large subunit ribosomal RNA", at positions 166 to 1964 of the family's 2925-position model. Lineage: Eukaryota; Bacillariophyta; Bacillariophyceae; Bacillariales; Bacillariaceae. The record is from RNAcentral.
AUAGGUGUAAGAGGCGAACCGGGGGAACUGAAACAUCUAAGUACCCACAGGAGGAGAAAACAACAGUGAUUCCGGUAGUAGUGGCGAGCGAACCCGGAUUAGCCCAAACCCAGGCUGUUUCGGCAGGCUGGGGGUAGUAGGACCUGCAUGAUUUCAAACAAGGAGACGGGAACGGCAUGGGAAGGCCGACCGGAGGGGGUGAGAGUCCCGUACUGGAAUUUUUGUUUGUGAGGCGGGUAUCCUGAGUAGGCCGGGACAGGAGAAAUCCCGGUUGAAUCUGCCGGCACCAUCCGGUAAGGCUAAAUACUCCUGAGAGACCGAUAGUGAACGAGUACCGUGAGGGAAAGGUGAAAAGUACCCUGAAUAAGGGGGUGAAAUAGAACCUGAAACCGUGCGCUUACAAGCGGUCGGAGCCCUUUAGUGGGGUGACGGCGUGCCUUUUGCAUAAUGAGCCUACGAGUUGCACCUCUUUGGCGAGGUUAAUUCCGUUGACGGGAGCAGCCGGAGCGAAAGCGAGUCUGAAAGGGCGUAUAGUCAGAGGGGGCAGACGCGAAACUUAGUGAUCUACCCAUGGCCAGGCUGAAGUUGUGGUAACACACAAUGGAGGGCCGCACCGAUAAGCGUUGAAAAGCUUCCGGAUGAGCUGUGGGUAGGGGUGAAAGGCCAAUCAAACUGAGAAAUAGCUCGUACUCCCCGAAAUGUUUUUAGGAACAGCGUCGUGGAUUGUAUGAUGGAGGUAGAGCUACCGAUAGGACUAGGGGGAGUCACAUCCUACCAAAUCCUGACGAACUCCGAAUGCCAUCAUAGAGAAACGGCAGUGAGGGCUGGGGUGCUAAGGUCCCAGUCCGAGAGGGAAAGAACCCGGACCUACCGCUAAGGUCCCGAAAUUUAGGUUAAGUUGAACAAAGGUGGUCCAGUUGCAGAGACAGCCAGGAGGUUAGCUUGGAAGCAGCUAUUCCUUUAAAGAGUGCGUAACAGCUCACUGGUCGAGCGACAGGGCGUCGAUAAUAAUCGGGCAUCAAACCUAAUACCGAAGCGUAGGAUUGGCAGUAAUGUCAGUGGUAGGGGAGCAUUCCAACGGCGGUGAAUGCACAUGGUGAUGUGUGCUGGAGCUUUUGGAAAAGCAAAUGUAGGCAUAAGUAACGAUAAUGGGGGCGAGAAACCCCCACACCGUAAGACCCAGGUUUCCUGAUCAACGCUAAUCGGAUCAGGGUUAGUCGGGUCCUAAGGCGCACCCGAGAGGGGCAGCCGAUGGCAAACGGGUUAAUAUUCCCGUACUGGACAUGCAGGUGAUGGAGUGACGGAGUGGUGAAAGGCCCGCCCGGUGACGGAAUACCGGGUUGAAGGGAGUAGGUAUUGGACCCAUAGUUAAAUGCGUGGGUUUAGCCGAACCUGACAGUACCGAGCGUCCUUGGACAAUCGGAUAGUGGCCCUAAAAGCUUCCAAGAAAAACUUCUGGCGUUAAGCGCAUGUCUACCCGUACCGCAAACCGACACAGGUGGUCGAGGAGAGUAUCCUAAGGUGCUCGAGUGAAUCAUGGCUAAGGAACUCGGCAAAAUGGCCCUGUAACUUCGGGAGAAGGGGCGCCCCGCAGGAAUGCGGGGCCGCAGUGAAGAGGCCCAGGCGACUGUUUAACAAAAACACAUGGCUUUGCGAAGUUGAAAGACUAGGUAUAAGGCCUGACACCUGCCCGGUGCCGGAAGGUUAAGAGGGGAUGUUAUCGCAAGAGAAGCAUUGAAUCGAAGCCCCGGUAAACGGCGGCCGUAACAAUAACGGUCCUAAGGUAGCGAAA